This is a long non-coding RNA of Engraulis encrasicolus (European anchovy), 6787 nucleotides long. RefSeq lists it as uncharacterized. The record is from RefSeq and is a predicted model, not a curated record. Lineage: Eukaryota; Metazoa; Chordata; Actinopteri; Clupeiformes; Engraulidae. The transcript has 7 exons.
CUCAUCUCAACUGCCAGGGUCGGUGCUUGAUGAGCUCUGCUUUACAAAAUGGAUUGGUAAAAUUAUAAAUGUAAGCUGCUUUAAUGGUUCAAAGGCUUGACUGCUUGUUUUGCGAUAUACUACUCGUUAACGAGUACCGAAAUUCAUUUCCAGCCAGGACAUUGGAGUCACUCACUACCUGAACCGAGUUUGUUUAUCUCACGUAUAUAUAGCUAACAACUUAGCUAAAGUUAAGAUAGCAAAACCGCAACAUUUCACAGAUGACAGAGACCUCAGUGGACCCACACGAGAGCUCAGGAACAGCAGAGAGCAGGGACUUCUCUCAUCACCUGGAAAGAAACUAGCUGACCAGAACCCAUAAGAAACAGCUACAAAAGAGCUGUUCAUGCUACAGUGGCUGUGCUGUGGAUACUGUGCCAGGUGUCAACAUGCAUGGAUCAGACCACAAAUACCAGCUGUUACUGCUACAGUGGCGGUGAUGUGGAUGCUGUGCCAGUUGUCAACAUGCAUGGACCAGACCACUAAUACCAGGUGUUAAUGCCACAGUGGCUAAUGCAGAUGCUGUGCCAAAUGCCAGCAUGGAUCUGCCGGAUCACUAACCGCAUGUAGGUGUCUACAUCAGAUUGGGGAGUUGGACACUGUGUAUGCCUGAUGUACAUCAGAAGGCUUUCCAGGCAGGCUGACCUGACCAAUUGGAGCUCAGUCCAAAGGCCUUGACGGUACUUAAGUACAUAUGGUAGGGCCAUCUGUGCUGCCCAGGGCGGAGGGGACACUAGGACCUUCCAGCAUAUACCCGCCUCUAUGAUGAUGAAAGUACCGUAGCCACUUUAAAUCACAGUAACUUGCUGUGUCCACAGUCCACACCGCCCAGAAAAGCUUUACAGCUAUAAGCUACAGGAGAGUGGCAAGACUUCCAAGUUCUAGAAAAAAAUAAGAAAUAAAAAAUGAAAUAAAAUACACACUAUACCUCUACAAAACAAAAGACUUAAGGUGAUGUUUGUUUGAAAAGGGAAGAUAUGUCCAAGGUAAGGCAAACAGAGCGUUUUUACAAAGCCCAUUUCCCUUGGCUGUCCAAUGGUUCAUUUGCACUUAAAUGGGAAGUGAGGGAAUUCACCACAUAACCAUCAAUCACACAGUCUGUCUCAAAUACACCCACGUCCCCUGGACAAAAGAAAAUGGAUGGAACCAUGGAUUCAAAUUAAACUAGUACAAUAUAGGCAUAAUUAUCGAAUGUCAGACACAUGCAAUCAGGAACACGCAGGAAAUCUCUUCAAUUUAGUGCAGCUUUCUCUACUUCUCAGUCUUGACUAUGUCCUUGUCUCUGGGUCUUUCACUGUAUAACGCUUCAUUAGACCCUUAACUUAACGGUGAACAUUUGCCAUUAGUCUGCAGUAAACUAAUUGCAGUGCAGACCUUAAAACAGGCCUACAGGCCUUUCUUUUCAGCACUAGGCUGUACUGUACGUAGUCCACUGAUGAAUGUAAACGCAAGGAAACUGACUGCCAACGUAAUGGUGGUGGUAAUACUGAGCAGUGAUGAAAGUGGGUGAGUAUAACACAGAAACACCUGCAACAUUCAAUGAUGUGUGGAAAGGUAGUACACUUGAUUAUAAUAUGUGGUGUUGUGUGCCAUCGUCACUAACAGAAAAAAUAACAAAAUGGCUGAAGAGCUACAGCAAUGGGAUCUAAAAUGUACACAGUGUUAGUCAGCGUGCUCACUCACCCAUCUUGUACCUUGUAGGCAUUUCUUUUCAGUUGAAAAAGUAAGGAGGGAAAAUGUUCCAAUGAAGAAAAUCUGAGUGUUUCAGACAAAUUAGAUAUUUUUUGACAAAUACUGAUAUAUGUUUUGAACAGGACAGCAUGACCUGCCCCUUUUGGUGAAACAAACCUGACUACUUACAAUAAGGCAAAUCAACAAAGAAUUAAAGGAGAACAUUAAACAAAAUUCCUCAAUACACUGAUCAUCUAUGAAAAGAUCUGGAAUAGUAUGCUUCCCUCUUCAGAGAUAUUGAUGAAUCAAUUAAACACACAUUUGAUCAUUUUCAUGGACUCAUUAAAAUGUCAUUGUUUCAAGUGCAGCCACAUAAAAAUGAUGAAUUUAAAAAAAGAAAUCCUCAAGAUUUAACAUUGUCACCAAUAUCACAUAGCAAUUUAUGACACACACAGGGAUGAUUAAGUGAAGCCCUAAAAGUACAUUAAAAUUACAGUUCACAUUUCUUUGUACAGACUAUUCAUAAAACCCUAUAAAUUCAUACCAUUCAGACAGAGAUUCAGUAAUCCAGCUGUAUGCAUUGUAGCCAAGGCAAAAUGGCUGAGGGAGAUUUCUGAUCGCUUCAUAGCAUGAAGAGGAUACAUCCUUCCUUUCAACGAACGAGAAGGGAAUCAUAUUCUAUGCUGGAAAUACUGACCAUAUCUUCAAAAAAUGUAAAUGUUUCUUCUGAGUCAGAAUGGUUAAGAUUUGUGUUGCUGUAAUGACUUAAAAAAUACUCACAAAAAAAGAGAAAAAAAGGACACUUGAUGGAUGAAAUAAAAGUGCUUGAAUCUAAACCUUGCACUCUUCAAAGACAAAAAGCACUUGAGUCUAGUAAGGGAAAAUCAUAAAUGUCACCUCAGCAUUAGAGGUCAGUCAUGCAUGUCUGAGCACAGUAAGAAAAAUCGCAUCUCUACCGAGAAGAAAGAAAGAAAGAAAGAAUCGAACGAAAAAGAAAGAGACAGAAUGAAAGAAAGGUCAUGACAGAAAUUCCAAAUUCAUCGCAAGCCACUUUCUCACGCCUCUCACGCCCGCCAGUAGCACAAGCAGUAAGGCUCCAGAGGACCAUGUGAUAAAAAUGGCGCCCCGUGUGGGCAGCUCUAGUAACUGAAUGCAGUCCAUGAGGGGAGCAGUGGAAGUGAACGCAGUGACCGGCUGCACUGCACUGACGUGUCUCUCAGGCAGGGCCGCUGACAGCUUUGGCCGGGCCCAGGCUGUGCUGGGCCCCCUCUCUACCCGGGCCUGGGACAACUGACCCCAGAAUAUGUGAGUGUGUGUGUGUGUUUCAUCAGAGAGAGAGAGAGAGAGAGAGAGAGAGAGGUGGAGGGGAGCUAUCUGAGCUGUCAGAUGACAGUCACUGUAAACACAUACAAAAUUAAAAGAAUGUUAAACUUUGCACAAACAAAAUCUCUGCCCAUCUCUUACCCUAACCAUAACAAAGCAAUAUUUGUGCACAAUGCAAUUUGUCUAGUUAAGACCUCACUGCACCUCCCACAAAUAUGUUUUUUUCAUCUUAAUAGGGGACUUUUCAGGCCGUGGCCAACCGGUAGGGCACUCUUCUGCCAUGCGGCCGACCCGGUUCGAUUCCCGGCCCGGGUCGUUUGCCGACCCCUCCCCGUCUCUCUCCCCAUUCGCUUCCUGUCCACCUCUCACACUGUCCUAUCAUCAAUAAAGCCGUAAAAUACCUAAAAAAUAAAAUAAUGACUUUUGUACCUCAUAUGUGCCCAAAAUAUAUAGGUACAAACACACACUGUACAGUAAAACAUACUGUACGUAGGGAGGGUAGACAUGUCGUGCACUCACAGAUAAGGUUUGGUCUCUAAGACGAAAGUUGGAUUUUGAUGUCAGUCUAAGGUGCAUUAUUUAAGAGUAUGACCUCUUAACCUCGUUCUUAUUAUUGUCAAAUCAUCAGUGGUCAUCACAUUUGGAGAUAUUGCAAAAGUUUGACCUAAUGGCCUCAUCACUAUGCAGUUCAAGUCAUUUGAGUGUUGUUCCUUGAUUAUUUCUUUUUCAACAGUACAAAAAAUAUUAAAAAUCCUACAUUCACAAAUUAAAAAUGGAUAAGGUAGGGGCUGCCAAAUUAUGUUCGGUAAUAAUAUGUACUUAAACGGUCUCCUAGUAACAGACCUCUGAUGAACAGGGUUUUUUCUCCCGUGUUGCUUCUCUGUGAGUGCAGAGCAUAUGCAGUAGACAGGUGGACAGCUGCAAGAGGAGAGAAGGAGGAGGAAGAGAAGAGAGAAAAGGGACGAGAGAAGGGAGAGAGAAUGGGUGAGGAAGAGGAAAAGGAAAAGGAAAGAGGCAGGCCACCCAGCAGGAGAGAAGGAGGAGGAAGAGAGAAGAGAGAAGGGAGAGAGAAUGGGUGAGGAAGAGGAAAAGUAAAAGUAAAAGGGAAGAGGCAGGCCAGGCCACCCAGCAGGAGAGCCUGAGUGCACCCUCCCUCCGCUCGGAGAGCUGGGGAGAUGAUUAAUCACGCCGCCUGUCCACAAGCACCUUCUGGAUCUGGACACACUGGCCCCCACUGCUGCUAUAGGCAGGGAAGCCGAUAGGGGGCGACAAAGGGGUCAGUUGGCCCGGGCCCAGGAAGAGAAGGGCCCCAGAAUUGGGUCCCCAUUAUAUUCUAUGUAUUAGGUAGGGGGGCCCUUUCCGAUAACUUCGUCCUGGGCCCAGCCAAAGCUGUCAGCGGCCUUGGCUAUAGGCGUCUCGCAUGAGUUCCCGGAUAGGAGGGGAGAGGAGAGGGGAGCUGGCCUCACCAGGUACGACUUGCUGAUUAUUUCAAGCACGCGUCAAGGGGAGAUGACAAGCCAGUGAUGACAACCAGGGAGCGAAAUCUGCAAAAUUGCCCCAAGGAUGAAUGAAUAAGUAAUUGUUUCCAAAUUCUUAAAAUGUGGCCCCAAAAUGGGACUGUGAUCGUGUUUUGUAAUUAAUCAGUCAAAGUCGUCUUUCUCUCCCUCCCACGUAAUUAGUUUGAAGACUGAGAAUGUCUAAUUAGAGAUUUCAGGGGAGGAUAGAGCCUAACUGACUUGGAAAUGAUCAAAUGAAAGGCAAUCAUCUGCAGACAGGAAAAGUAGCAUGGGCAGUCGGUCCUCUAGACAGUUGGUCUUAAUGGACCUUGUGUCACGUCAAAUGACAGCUGGAUAACAACAAUAUGAAGACAGACAGACAAACAAACAAACAAACAAAAAAUCAAAGAGAAAGUAGGGAGAUAAAGACAGUAAAAAGAGGGUCUGAUGAUUUGAGUACACAAGGAAAUCAAACAGAAAGGCGUGGCUCAGAAGAUCCCACAGAAGCCAGGAGAAGUGUAUGGUACUGCAGAGUAUUUGCAGCGGCUACAUGUCAUCCAGGCACAAGUGCAUCAAUUGGCUACCAGUUACUGAAUUGGCAUGUGGGAUCAUAGGGGCGCAUGUUUGAAUCCUGCAUAACUGCCAAAAAAGGGACAGGGGAAUAAAUAACUAUUACUCUCCUUCACUGUCAUUUACAGCAUGGGCAAUAUUCCCUUGCUUCAGAGACUAUGCCCUGCACUGCACCGACAUAACUGUUGGCCACACCACAACACCACGUAGAUGUGACUUGAGAUCCAUUGUGGUGGUAGUGGUCUUCACCCUCUGUCUAAUGGGGCUGCCUGCACUCUGCACCCACUUAGCCCCAUAGUGUACACGUUAGUGGUGCUGAUGACACAGAGAUGGCCAGUGGACCGCACUCUGAUGCAUUUACUCCCUGUGGAGUACCAUGUGUGGUAACUGCAAUGAUGGGGGAGAAAGUGGGGGAUUUUAGUCAUCCAGGACACAUUGUUCUUCAGAUAAGUGCCGGACAUCAUCACUACAUUGCUAAUAAUCACAGCAGGUGAAGGGACGGAAGAGCAAUCUCAAAUGUGACAGUGACGAGGAGAUGUGAACUGAAAAUGACUAAUUUCGUUCUUAUUUCUGUCUUAUAAAGUACAGCGAUUCCAACAUCUGACAUCCCUAUUCUUUGUUGUCUUUUAGUUUACGUGUGUGUGUGUGUGUCUGUGUCUGUGUCUGUGUGUGUGUGUGUUAGUUUGUACCUGUGUUCAUGCAUGCAGAGUCUGCAUUGCAGACAUUUGUGCCCGACAAUUUAGUGAGGGUUAAAAGGGUAGAUGAAGGAUUUUGUCAACGGCAAAACAAUAUUAAACUUUUGAUCCAUACGACGCAUUGAUUGCUACAGAAAAUAAGCAUCUGCCAGAAACAGUCUGAUCAGCUAUAAAAAAAAAUGACUGUAGCUCAGACUAUCUCUGUGAAUUUGUUGUGCAUCACAAGGAAAUUCAAGAAAGCUGUGAGUUCAUUUUUCUUAUAACAGAGAGAGAGAGAGAGAGAGUGAAAUCGAGAUCGCACGCGAGAGAGAGAGAGAGAGAGCAUGUGUGAGAGAAACUGAGAGAAGAAAGUGCAAGAGAAAAAAGCAAAAGAGUGAGAGAGAGAGAAAAAUCUAUGAUUUACGAUUGCACUAGCUCGUCAUCUUGUGAAUGUCAAGCAGCAGCCUCUCCUCUCUGCUUGAUGGCCUUUCGCUUGAGAGACCUUCCUGAGGCUGCUGCUGCGGUGCAAAAAAAAGAAAAUCGACAGCUGGACAGUGUACAAAAUAUGAACAUUCACAAGGUUACCGCCUUGCUCCUGCACACUCCUGUUGCAUCAACAAGCAUUACUUGUCCAACAGAGUGCAUCCAUCUAAAUACACUGGUGGUUGAAAGUCCGCUGGAGGGAGUCGGAUGUGCCAAUACAGAGAGAUCAACGGCGUCAAUCCUCUUCCUACCACAAACAGGGCCAGUGGUUCAGAACUCGAACAAGGUCAGGGACCCGACAGACACUCUUCACAGCAUAGGUGCUUUAAAAAGUCACACAUACAGUACAGGCUGUCCUGCACUCGCAGUGUUUCCUUUCUCAAAGGAAUGCAUGCAGCUACUGUAGAAGAAACUGUCUUGAGUGCUACAGCUCAGAGCUUAAGAGCACUCUGUAGGCUACUGUACAUACAUACUGUAGACAGAGGAUGGUCAUGAUUGUUGUCAGUAUGAAUGCACGUGUGUGAUUGUGUG